UGUGAAAUCCCCGGGCUCAACCUGGGAACUGCAUUCGAAACUGGCAGGCUUGAGUCUUGUAGAGGGGGGUAGAAUUCCAGGUGUAGCGGUGAAAUGCGUAGAGAUCUGGAGGAAUACCGGUGGCGAAGGCGGCCCCCUGGACAAAGACUGACGCUCAGGUGCGAAAGCGUGGGGAGCAAACAGGAUUAGAUACCCUGGUAGUCCACGCCGUAAACGAUGUCUACUUGGAGGUUGUGCCCUUGAGGCGUGGCUUCCGGAGCUAACGCGUUAAGUAGACCGCCUGGGGAGUACGGCCGCAAGGUUAAAACUCAAAUGAAUUGACGGGGGCCCGCACAAGCGGUGGAGCAUGUGGUUUAAUUCGAUGCAACGCGAAGAACCUUAC
RNAcentral lists this ribosomal RNA (382 nucleotides) under Salmonella enterica subsp. enterica serovar Kentucky. RNAcentral's name for it is "bacterial SSU rRNA". It matches the Rfam family "Bacterial small subunit ribosomal RNA", at positions 593 to 974 of the family's 1533-position model. Lineage: Bacteria; Pseudomonadati; Pseudomonadota; Gammaproteobacteria; Enterobacterales; Enterobacteriaceae. The record is from RNAcentral.